CCUACGGGUGGCAGCAGUCGAGAAUUUUUCUCAAUGGGGGCAACCCUGAAGGAGCGACGCCGCGUGGGGGAUGAAGGGUUUCGAUCCGUAAACCCCUGUCAUUCGCGAACAAUGGUUGCUGUUUAAGAGAUGGCAAUUUGAUAGUAGCGGAAGAGGAAGGGACGGCUAACUCUGUGCCAGCAGCCGCGGUAAUACAGAGGUCCCGAGCGUUGUUCGGAUUCACUGGGCGUAAAGGGUGCGUAGGUGGUGAGGUAAGUCGGAUGUGAAAGCUCCGGGCUCAACCCGGAAAUGGCAUUGGAAACUACCUUGCUGGAGGUUUGGAGGGGGGACUGGAAUUCUCGGUGUAGCAGUGAAAUGCGUAGAUAUCGAGAGGAACACCAGUGGCGAAGGCGAGUCCCUGGACAACACCUGACACUGAGGCACGAAAGCCGGGGGAGCAA
RNAcentral lists this ribosomal RNA (440 nucleotides) under uncultured bacterium. RNAcentral describes it as "bacterial SSU rRNA". It matches the Rfam family "Bacterial small subunit ribosomal RNA", at positions 338 to 771 of the family's 1533-position model. The record is from RNAcentral.